CGGGGCGUAGCUCAGCCCGGUAGAGCACUGCGUUUGGGACGCAGAAGUCGUCGGUUCAAAUCCGGCCGCCCCGACCA
Molecule: transfer RNA, 77 nt
Filed under: Bacteroidota bacterium
Lineage: Bacteria; Pseudomonadati; Bacteroidota
Also listed under: 1 other name
Description: Bacteroidetes bacterium tRNA-Pro
Rfam family: tRNA
About the family: Transfer RNA (tRNA) molecules are approximately 80 nucleotides in length. Their secondary structure includes four short double-helical elements and three loops (D, anti-codon, and T loops).
Source: RNAcentral